This 500-nucleotide ribosomal RNA is filed under the name Neoechinorhynchus iraqensis. Its description in RNAcentral is "partial large subunit ribosomal RNA". It matches the Rfam family "Eukaryotic large subunit ribosomal RNA", at positions 68 to 524 of the family's 3401-position model. Lineage: Eukaryota; Metazoa; Acanthocephala; Eoacanthocephala; Neoechinorhynchida; Neoechinorhynchidae. The record is from RNAcentral.
ACUUGUCUCUGCACGAGUGAGUAUCCUGUAGUAAUGGCUAAUGAACAGGGAAAGGUUCAAACCGAAUCCCUUCGGGAAACCGAUUGCGAGUUGUGGUGUAAGGUUAGCUUCUGAAGCAUAAAUGUCCAACGAUGAGUUCGGUUGAAUACGGCAUAUUUCCAAAGAGGGUGACAGACCCAUAUUCGUUGUGCGUUUAUGCUUAAAAGUUGGCCUGAGAGUCGAAUUGUUUGAAAUUGCAAUUCAAACAUGUGUGGUAAACUCCAUACAAAACUUAAUAUGGCGACAACCCCGAUAGCGAAAAAGUACCGUGAGGGAAAGUUGAAAAGUCUCGAAAGAGAAAGACUUAAAUAGUACGUGAAACUGCACAUUGAAAAGCGAAUGAAUACGUAUUGGUUCAGGUUGUUGAUUACACGGGUGUGUGCCAAGGCAUAAUGCUUUUGUUCAUUCGUAUUGCAUUUGGCAAGCUGACAUUCUGCUUGGCUUUGUUCCGACUGCAGCUA